UCCAAAAGAAACAGCUUCACCAUUUUGCGCCACAAAAAAAAAAAAAAAACAGCGUAAUUUCCUCGCCCUUUUCCAUCUGGAAAAAAAUAUAUUCCUACUAAUAGAAUGAAUUCAGCCUCAUUCUAUGCCCCUUUAAGGAAGAAGAGGGUAGAAAUAACUCUUCCAGUUGAACAUAGUGAGGACGAGUUACAGUUAAGUAGUGAUGAUGACGAGCUGCAAGAAUACUUGCCAGGAGAAAGUGAGACUGAUGAGGAGGAUGAGGAGGAUCAGAGUGAGAAUCAGGAUGAGGAUGGGAGUGAAGGUGAAAGUACAGAGACAGAAGCAAUAGAAAAGGCCAAGAAUCUGGGAUGGAAAAAAUGCAGGCACAUCCUUCCAGUCCAACAAUGGAAAGGCAGCCUCCCCAAAGCCACAAAAGUGAAGACUCCAAUUGAAUACUUUAGGGAUGAUCUACUAACCCACGACUGCAUUGAAAACAUGGUCAAGCAAACAAAUCUAAAUCCCAAAUCGGCUCGCAGGGUGCAGCUUCUCCACGGACAAGGACAUGAAGAAGAAGGGCCGGGGAACCUUUGAAGAGAAAGCUGCAAACCAUGAUGGAGUCCAGCUCACAACAAUAGUCGUGCUGUCCACCUCCUGUCCACAUUUGCCUCAGCCCACCCAACAACUUCUGUCCAAAGAUGGGAUAGGGGCAUGGGAUUAUAUAGCACUUUGAAUUGCCUCCGGGUCUGAAAUGUGCUGUAAACUUGCCUUGCCAGGUUACCUGCCCAGCUAUUGCCAAGACAUAUAACAAAAGCAAGGGAAGUGGUACCACAGGAUCGUGUCCCACAUGCUGGAUUUCACUGUAGUCAAUGCGUGGCUCUUGUAACGCAGGGAUUGCAUGGACUGCGGCCAGAGGAAAAGUCAGUACAGCUUGCCGAAAUUCAAAGCUGAAGUUGCAGCUUGCCUUUGCAAUGAAAGGAAGGUUCUGAGGAAAAGGGGAAGACCAUCAACCAAUGGAGACCUGGCUGAGAAGAGGCACAGAGGCCCUACUUCAACAGUGCCAUCACCACCUGUGCGUCAGGACAACACUGACCACUGGCCUAUUUGGGUGGAGAAAAAGGGGCAGGUGCAAAUACCCUGGAUGCAAGGGUAUUGAAAGUCCAGUGCACAAAAUGUGUCACAUACCUGUGCUUCACUCCCGAAAAUAACUGCUUCAUGGAGUUCGAUAAGCACUGAGCAGCAGUGGACAGCACAGAUGGAUGUGAGGAAAGACACGGGACUGACAGGACUGUUUUGCAAUCUUUGUUUUGAUAAAUAGUUUGUUUCAAGUUCGAAGAUUUACACUUAAGACUGUUCAAGACGUUCAUUUCAAUGGGUUGAUGGUGCAAUGGUACUAACUGGCAUCAUAAUGCGUACCAUAGAGGGUUAAACAGGUUUUUUUCCAGUGAAAACGUCAAAAUAAGUUAAAUUCUGUCACACAAACUUUCCGACCUUCGUUGUUUUUUGGUACUUUCUGUGUUCCAGGACGUUAUUGUCCUUUGUGGCCAGUAGGAUGCUCUGAAGUAUCACCUCAUCAGUUCAACUCUAACAAAAGGUCACUGUGGUAUUGUGAGCAGACACUUCCAAACCCACACUGACACAUUCUUGCCAAAUAUCCUCUGGUUUCGUUUCCUCGCUGAGAUGGAAAGUUUUUGAGAAACUCUUGAUGGAAGGUGAAAGGGACAGAUUGGCCCUCGGGGAUGAGAUCUGUUUCUCCAGCUUCCUUCAUCCAAACCUGCAACCAAGAGUGACGGAGAGCUGACACUGCAGCGUCUCUGUCUGUCUGUCUAUGUCUGCGUCUGCCUGUCAUAUCACACUGUUGUUCUUUUCUCAACAGGCAGCACUUAAACAGACUUCUGUGUCUGGGAGGGACUGAAAAAGACCAUAAAUAAAACCUGUUUUGGGGCUGAAAUGAGAUGUUUGCAUGUGCACACACUGGAGUCAAGAUCUCUGUUAGCUCACAAGUUAAUUUGAUUUAAAUUGUGUUGAAACAAACACUGCACUGUGGCCUGUGUCCAGAAAUAAUUCACUAUUAUUUCACACUGUGUGUAUAAGGAAUUACAUAGUGUGUUGUAGGGCAAAAAAACAAAACAAUUUCAGCGUUUAAAUUUGCCUUUUCUCUGUCUAUGCAAUCAGUGUUGGGUCAGAUUACUCUAACAUUAUACAGCAAUUAUUGUAAUUAGAAACAUAAUCCAGUGGGUUACAAAACAAUAUAAUCUAAUCUGAAUACUUCUGGAUUAAAUCAAAAUCAAAUACUAAUAUAUUGAACUUUCCGUAGUUCUCACUAUACAAAAACACAAUAAAACAGUAAUAAUAAUAUCUAUAUAUCAAUAAUCUAGUGUGUUAGCCAACUCACACAGUGUUUGCAAGUUGCUGUAUGUAUAAAAUAUCCAUACUUUUGCAGUAUUAAUACAAUAAUUAUUAAAUUUG
Long non-coding RNA from Dicentrarchus labrax (European seabass), 2445 nucleotides. RefSeq lists it as uncharacterized. NCBI's taxonomy places the organism in Eukaryota, Metazoa, Chordata, Actinopteri, Moronidae. The record is from RefSeq and is a predicted model, not a curated record. The transcript is spliced from 3 exons.